ACUGCUCAGUAACACGUGGACAACCUACCCUCAGGUCGGGGAUAAACCCGGGAAACUGGGUAUAAUACCCGAUAGAUCUCGGCUGCUGGAAUGCAUCGAGAUCGAAAGCUCCGGCGCCUGAGGAUGGGUCUGCGGCCUAUCAGGUAGUAGUGGGUGCAGCGUACCUACUAGCCUACGACGGGUACGGGUUGUGAGAGCAAGAGCCCGGAGACGGAUUCUGAGACACGAAUCCAGGCCCUACGGGGUGCAGCAGGCGCGAAAACUUUACAAUGCUGGAAACAGCGAUAAGGGGACCUCGAGUGCCAGGUUACAAAUCUGGCUGUCGUGAUGCCUAAAAAGCAUUGCAUAGCAAGGGCCGGGCAAGACCGGUGCCAGCCGCCGCGGUAACACCGGCGGCUCGAGUGGUAGCCGUUAUUAUUGGGUCUAAAGGGUCUGUAGCCGGCCGGAUAAGUCUCUUGGGAAAUCCAGCAGCUCAACUGUUGGGCUUUCAGGAGAUACUGCCUGGCUCGAGGCCGGGAGAGGUGAGAGGUACUCCAGGGGUAGGGGUGAAAUCUUGUAAUCCUUGAAGGACCACCAGUGGCGAAGGCGUCUCACCAGAACGGACCUGACGGCAAGGGACGAAAGCUAGGGGCACGAACCGGAUUAGAUACCCGGGUAGUCCUAGCCGUAAACGAUACUCGCUAGGUGUCGGCCACGGUGCGACCGUUGUCGGUGCCGUAGGGAAGCCGUGAAGCGAGCCACCUGGGAAGUACGGCCGCAAGGCUGAAACUUAAAGGAAUUGGCGGGGGAGCAC
This 793-nucleotide ribosomal RNA is filed under the name uncultured archaeon. Its description in RNAcentral is "bacterial SSU rRNA". It matches the Rfam family "Archaeal small subunit ribosomal RNA", at positions 85 to 879 of the family's 1478-position model. The record is from RNAcentral.